GCAGGUUGAAGGUGCGGUAACACGCACUGGAGGACCGAACCCACGUCUGUUGAAAAAGACGGGGAUGACGUGUGGCUAGGGGUGAAAGGCCAAUCAAACUCGGAGAUAGCUGGUUCUCCGCGAAAUCUAUUUAGGUAGAGCGUCACGUGAAUACCCUCGGGGGUAGAGCACUGGAUGGGCUAGGGGGACUCACCGUCUUACCAAACCUAACCAAACUCCGAAUACCGAAGAGUAGAGCUCGGCAGACAGACCAUGGGUGCUAAGGUCCAUGGUCGAGAGGGAAACAGCCCAGACCGCCAGCUAAGGUCCCUAAGUUAUGGCUAAGUGGGAAAGGAUGUAGGAAGGCCAAGACAACCAGGAGGUUGGCUUAGA
RNAcentral lists this ribosomal RNA (372 nucleotides) under Isochrysis galbana. Its description in RNAcentral is "partial Bacterial large subunit ribosomal RNA". It matches the Rfam family "Bacterial large subunit ribosomal RNA", at positions 740 to 1110 of the family's 2925-position model. The record is from RNAcentral. Lineage: Eukaryota; Haptophyta; Isochrysidales; Isochrysidaceae.